This is a non-coding RNA of Galeopterus variegatus (Sunda flying lemur), 370 nucleotides long. Lineage: Eukaryota; Metazoa; Chordata; Mammalia; Dermoptera; Cynocephalidae. The record is from the annotation of a RefSeq genome assembly.
AUGCAGAUCCUGUGGUUCCUUCUAUGCCUGAUGGCAGCUCCCCUAGGUGUCCUGUCUGAGCUGACACUGCAGGAGUCGGGCCCAGGACUGGUGAAACCCUCGCAGACCCUGUCCCUCACCUGCACCAUCUCUGGAGGCUCUGUCACAAGUGCUAGUUGGAACUGGAUCCGCCAGCCCCCGGGGAAGAGCCUUGAGUGGAUGGGAUACAUUAAUUCUGCUGGCAUCACAGGUUAUAACCCGUCCCUCAAGAGCCGCACCUCCAUCACCAGAGACACGUCCAAGAACCAGGUGUUCUUGCAGCUGACCUCUGUGACCGAUGAGGACACGGGCGUGUAUUACUGUGCGAGAUACACAGUGACAGGAAGUCAGC